CGCGUGGGAACCUGCCCUGUGGUAGGGGAUAACUGCGGGAAACUGCAGCUAAUACCCUAUGUGUCCUAUGGGAGAAAGAUUUAUCGCCAUAGGAGGGGCCCGCGUCGGAUUAGGUAGUUGGCGGGGUAACGGCCCACCAAGCCUGCGAUCCGUAGCUGGUCUGAGAGGAUGAUCAGCCACACUGGGACUGAGACACGGCCCAGACUCCUACGGGAGGCAGCAGUAGGGAAUAUUGGACAAUGGGCGCAAGCCUGAUCCAGCAAUGCCGCGUGAGUGAAGAAGGCCUUAGGGUUGUAAAGC
This 300-nucleotide ribosomal RNA is filed under the name uncultured Rhodospirillaceae bacterium. Its description in RNAcentral is "bacterial SSU rRNA". It matches the Rfam family "Bacterial small subunit ribosomal RNA", at positions 114 to 431 of the family's 1533-position model. The record is from RNAcentral. Lineage: Bacteria; Pseudomonadati; Pseudomonadota; Alphaproteobacteria; Rhodospirillales; Rhodospirillaceae.